Molecule: long non-coding RNA, 2850 nt
Organism: Mya arenaria
Lineage: Eukaryota; Metazoa; Mollusca; Bivalvia; Myida; Myidae
Exons: 2
Source: RefSeq, a predicted model, not a curated record
AAAUAUUAAAUGACUGGUGGGUCCAUAAAGAUUUACAGUGAUCAACAAUCGUCUCAUAAGAUUGGUGAAGACCUACGAAAAAACUUUGAAGUGUAAUUAAAGGAUAUUUUCGGAAAAUAACGAAGUAUUCUCGCCAUACAAGUAAAAUGCAACACGCUGUUCAAAGAGGGAGAAGGCGCAGAAAUGCUGGCAAAGUUCGCUUGAUAGAGGAUUGCCUUGAGGCUGAUGUUCGAACAAAUCUGAGGCGUUGGUGGAAAGAUGAAAUUUCAGGAGAAACAUGUGUUAAAAACAUAAUGGAUGGUGGGUUUGCAGUUGGAGCUAGAAUAGCUGGCAUUGGAGGUGAAAUAGUUGGUAUGAGAGUCGGUAAUGCGAUCGGUGGGCCUAUCGGUACUGCUAUUGGGACUAUAGCAGGUGGUGUCGUAUCUAGUGCCUGUGCUGUAGCUGGUCAAUUGUUUUCGGACCAUUUAACACAUUGGAUCUUUGGUCUGCCGAAACCUUUGGCUCUGCAAAAUGCGUUCCGUUUUCUGGGGUUGCCGCAGUCGAGCUCCAACAGUGAAAUAAACACGCAAUAUCGAAAACAUGCUUCGCGGUAUCAUCCCGACAAAGGUGGCGACAAGGACAAAUGGACACAACUUCAGUACUCAUUGGCCAUUAUACGCCAAGCAAGGGGAGCACACUAGACAAAAAGCCGCAGUUUUCAAAAGAUUCUCUAUUCGGGUAUAGUAAGCAGCGAAACAAUACCGAGUUCUUCAUUUUAGUAUAAAAUCGAAUUGGUUCAUGAUGUUAAAUACAAUGACAACAGACACGGUUUCAAAGAUACGUAAACAACAGCGUCAAACACAAAAGAGACAAGCGAGUCAUUAGCUUAAUACAAGUAUUAAGUGUUUCAAUCUGAAUAUUCACAUGGUAGUAUAUGGGUUGAACACAUGCACCUAUAGGUGAUCUUACCUGCAGAAUUGAUUUUUAUAUAAAAAAUAUGGACAUUUAUCUGCAUUUCAAUGCAUUGAAGGUCUUGGUUGGACACAUACUUACGCGAAAACCGUGUUUAAAAUAUCAUAACUUUUUACCAUUGAUUCGUGUUUAUAUUUUUUCUAAGAUUCAAUCAUCGGGGGUGGUAUUCAACAUUCAUCUUAAGUUAAGUCUUUUUGUCAUACAUCAUUGAGUUCAUUCACCCUAUUGAUCAGUUAUUAAUAACAAUUAAUCCGAUUAGCUACAUCGUUCUUAGAUCCAAUUAGACCAAUAUUGAAUACCAGCCCGGAACCACUAUGUGCUCCAUAAGCAUGAUGCGUCAUGCUUUAUUUGUAUUGCACAAUGUCUUAUAUGUAUAUGUAUGCUGAUUGUUUGAUAACUACGGCAUUUGCUGAUAUUUUCACUAACAUAUUCUCAGAUUCUCAAGUUCUUUUUAAGUUAUUUAUAUUAUCUUUGAUUGUACUUUAAAAAAAAACGCGUGACACAAAUAUUAUUUUUAGAUUUGCUUGAUUUCCAUUCAUUCCAUAAGAGUUUUAAUACAGGGUCGUAAGAAAGUAAAGAUCUUAAAUGAACGAUUGAUAAUAUUUUAGCAUUAUCAUUAUCCAAAACAUUUUUGGCAAGUUUCACACAAUUUUCUAGCGUCAAUAUAUAUAGCUAGUAAUUGUGAGUGCAGUAAAUAUUCAAAAGAAGACAGAGAAUGUUCCAUUUUGUCAGAUAUCGUCAGUAAAGCCAUUGAAAACGUAUUUUUUCUUGACUUGGAUAUGCGAAAUUUUGUUUAAGUGACUUUCUGUCAUUUGCUUUUUGGUAUGCGUAUAUGUCUAAGAACCAGCUAAAUAAGAAUGAUGACAAACAAUUAUAUCGCAGGUUUUCAUAUCUACGUUCGUAAAUUGAUGUUUUAAAACUCAUUUUUUAAAGCGUUAGUAAAACUUUUAGCCACAAAACUGAAGUUUCGACCGUAAAUAUUAAAAACUGCGAUCUGAUAUUUUGACACCAGUCUUAUAUCACUGUUUCCCACCAAGAUAAAACAAAUAUGCAAAGCAGUCUAUCUGAGAGAGCAAAGUUUUAAGGUAUUCUUAUAGUUGAUUUGGUCAUUACAGUAAUUAUACAAAAAUAAUCACAUUUGUUUUAAGAUAACAUAUACAAUAUGGUCUUCAAGCCAUGUUUUUGGUUUGUGAUGCCUUGUUUUUGUGUUAUCUGUCAUUGGCGUUAACCCUGUGCCAUUAAACGGGGGGUAUGUUUAAACUUAUGACUACUAGACUUGUUUCUGUAGUUUUUCAUAUAAAUAUUCAUAACACUUACAACGGCAAUUCAAGCAAUCAUUAACAGUAUAAUACAAUACUUGAAACAUUCAAGAAAGAUAAGGGUAUCAUAGUCUAUAAUCUUCAACAAUCACAUGAGCAUCAGAAGAUCAUGUAUAACAAUUGCAUUAUUUUUCAAUUUUUAUACACAUGUAAAAGUACAUUACAUUUUGGAACUCUACAAUUUUUCCAUAUUUUUUUAUCAAAGUACCAAGACAUUUAAAUUACCAAUGUUUGUAAAUGUAAAAGGUGUUGUUUAUUUCAUCAAAUAUUCAAAGAAAAAGCAUUUCUUGUGUGAACUCGUGUACAAUCUCCAAGAUUCUUUAUUGGUAUUUGAAAAAGAAAUUAGCAUAUGUACUUCGUAGUUAGGAUGUUUGUUAAAAAAGGUAUUUUAGGCCAGUGGCCUUGUAUUAUCAAUUGAACAAUGGACCAGACUAAACGUACAUUUUGUCUUAUGCGAGUUAUUGUCCUUUUAUGAUAACUUUGUUUGCAUCAUAAUUUGUAUGCUAAUUGUUGAUUUGUUUCUAUUGCAUGAAUGGUUGAGUUAUCACCCUAUAAGUAAAUAACAGUAUAUCCUAAUUCA